Molecule: ribosomal RNA, 253 nt
Filed under: uncultured prokaryote
Description: partial 16S ribosomal RNA
Rfam family: Bacterial small subunit ribosomal RNA
Source: RNAcentral
UACGGAGGGCGCAAGCGUUGUUCGGAAUCACUGGGCGUAAAGCGCGCGCAGGCGGAUGGUCAAGUCGGAAGUGAAAUCCCGGGGCUCAACUCCGGGGCUGCUCCCGAUACUGUUCAUCUGGAGACCGGUAGAGGUGGGUAGAAUUCCCGGUGUAGCGGUGGAAUGCGUAGAUAUCGGGAAGAAUACCUGUGGCGAAGGCGGCCCACUGGGCCGGUUCUGACGCUGAGGCGCGAAAGCGUGGGGAGCAAACAGG